This 400-nucleotide ribosomal RNA is filed under the name phytoplankton environmental sample. Its description in RNAcentral is "partial small subunit ribosomal RNA". It matches the Rfam family "Eukaryotic small subunit ribosomal RNA", at positions 587 to 988 of the family's 1831-position model. The record is from RNAcentral.
AGCUCCAAUAGCGUAUAUUAAUAUUGCUGCAGUUAAAAAGCUCGUAGUUGGAUCUUGGGUCCAGGCUUGUGGUUCCGCCCGUCCUGCGGUUACUGCUCGUCCUGACCUACCAGCCGGCCGAUCCAUGGUGCCCUUUACUGGGUGUCUUGGGCGGGCCGGAACGUUUACUUUGAAAAAAUUAGAGUGUUCAAAGCAGGCGGCUCGCCUGAAUAAUGGUGCAUGGAAUAAUAGAAGAGGACCUUGGUUCUAUUUUGUUGGUUUCUGGAACUGGAGGUAAUGAUUGAGAGGGACUGCCGGGGGCAUUCGUACUACGGCGUGAGAGGUGAAAUUCAUGGAUCGCCGUAAGACGAGCGAGAGCGAAAGCAUUUGCCAAGAAUGUUUUCAUUAAUCAAGAACGAAA